This 1412-nucleotide ribosomal RNA is filed under the name uncultured bacterium. RNAcentral's name for it is "16S ribosomal RNA". It matches the Rfam family "Bacterial small subunit ribosomal RNA". The record is from RNAcentral.
AGAGUUUGAUCCUGGCUCAGGAUGAACGCUAGCGACAGGCUUAACACAUGCAAGUCGAGGGGCAGCGGAGGCGAGUGCUUGCACUUGCCAGACGGCGACCGGCGCACGGGUGAGUAACACGUAUGCGACCUGCCCGUAGCAGGGGGAUAAGCGGAAGAAAUUCCGUCUAAUACCGCGUAAUAUCUUUCGGGGGCAUCCCUGAGGGAUUAAAGGAAGCGAUUCCGGCUACGGAUGGGCAUGCGGCGCAUUAGCUAGUCGGCGGGGUAACGGCCCACCGAGGCGACGAUGCGUAGGGGUUCUGAGAGGAAGGUCCCCCACACUGGAACUGAGACACGGUCCAAACUCCUACGGGAGGCAGCAGUGAGGAAUAUUGGUCAAUGGCCGGAAGGCUGAACCAGCCAAGUCGCGUGAGGGAAUAAGGCCCUACGGGUCGUAAACCUCUUUUGCCAGGGAGCAAUGCCGUCCACGUGUGGACGGAAGGAGAGUACCUGGAGAAAAAGCAUCGGCUAACUCCGUGCCAGCAGCCGCGGUAAUACGGAGGAUGCGAGCGUUAUCCGGAUUUAUUGGGUUUAAAGGGUGCGCAGGCGGUCUGUUAAGUCAGCGGUAAAAGCCCGGGGCUCAACCCCGGCGAGCCGUUGAAACUGGCGGACUAGAGAGGAAGAGAAGUAGGCGGAAUGCGCGGUGUAGCGGUGAAAUGCUUAGAUAUCGCGCAGAACUCCGAUUGCGAAGGCAGCCUACCGGCUUCUAUCUGACGCUCAGGCACGAAAGCGUGGGUAUCGAACAAAAUUAGAUACCCUGGUAGUCCACGCAGUAAACGAUGAAUAAACGGCUGUCCGGCCCGACUGGGGGGUUGGGUGGGCGAGGCGAAAACGAUAAGCAUUCCACAUGGGGGAGUACCCCCGGCAACGGUAAAAAUCAAAGGAAUUGACGGGGGCCCGCACAAGCGGAGGAACAUGUGGUUUAAUUCGAUGAUACGCGAGGAACCUUACCCGGGCUCAAACGGCGGAUGACAGGUGCAGAGACGCACCCUCCUACGGGCAAUCCGCCGAGGUGCUGCAUGGUUGUCGUCAGCUCGUGCCGUGAGGUGUCGGCUUAAGUGCCAUAACGAGCGCAACCCCUGCCGACAGUUGCUAACGGAUAAUGCCGAGGACUCUGUCGGGACUGCCGGCGCAAGCCGUGAGGAAGGCGGGGAUGAUGUCAAAUCAGCACGGCCCUUACGUCCGGGGCGACACACGUGUUACAAUGGCCGGUACAGCGGGAAGCCAGGCGGCGACGCCGAGCGGAACCCGAAAACCGGUCUCAGUUCGGAUCGGAGUCUGCAACCCGACUCCGUGAAGCUGGAUUCGCUAGUAAUCGCGCAUCAGCCAUGGCGCGGUGAAUACGUUCCCGGGCCUUGCACUCACCGCCCGUCA